Long non-coding RNA from Phragmites australis (common reed), 982 nucleotides. RefSeq lists it as uncharacterized. The transcript has 3 exons. The record is from RefSeq and is a predicted model, not a curated record. Lineage: Eukaryota; Viridiplantae; Streptophyta; Magnoliopsida; Poales; Poaceae.
AAUUCCAAGAUCUUAUUUCUUAGUAUUUCGAGUUGUUAGUGGCGUACGUAGAGUUCCCAUGGUAAUCGAUUGGAAAAGGUCCAUUUUGCUCAUUCAACUCUUGCAUUAGUCUCAUCUUGCUCCUUUAAUCAAAAAACCAGUCACUCAGACUUCUUUAACAAUUAAAAUCGUUUAUUUUUUCUCACUAAGUAGGUUUGGACGGUAAUUUUAUUCAAUGUGGAUCACACGUGGCAGUAGGCCCUUUUUGUUGCUUGAUCUAGGCGCCGUUAUCUCCAACGAGCUCCUAGAUUGCCUCCCUCAACUAUUGCGAAGAGCUUCAUGCUCAUGCCUCGCGUGGAGGGAGUUGAUGGCCGAUGCGAGUCGUCCAGAAAGUUUGAUGUGCAAAGACCUCCAUCGGGACCGGCAUCCUCACCGCCACCUCGACCACAGCCUCCAGUGUUGGUUACCACGGUGAUGAAGCCGGGACAUCUUCACCUGCACCUCCAUCGUUAGCAUCUCCACCGUUCGCGCCCUAUUUCAGCACUUACGACUGGCCUUCUACAGCUACCCCUGCAUACCAUGUAGGCCCUCCAGUGAUUAUGCAUGGACGACAGCGGCACCAUCACAGUCAUUUUACCCAAGUCAGAGGAUGAGCCUAGGUCGGACCCCCAUUCGACCUCGUGAGGGACUUUUCGGGGGCACAAUGGACUACGAUGUCCUCACGCGGUCCCAGUUGCCCAUUGCUUUACCACCGAUGCAGCAGACCCUGGAGGAGACCUCGACUCCCGUGAUCGCUACAAGGCUUACUAGGUAGGUUGUUCCACCGAACAACCUGACCUACUCUAGGGGCCACGUGAGGGCGAACCAGCGGCAGCGUCGACGGGACCAUGAUGGUGGAAACAGCCAACGACAGUGGGAGAGAAAGUAGUAGGAUUUUAUCUUUACUUUUGUAACUUAGAUGUUUGUUUCAUCAUUCAUGUUCGAUUCGCAAACUAGUCUUAUA